Molecule: RNA transcript, 2645 nt
Organism: Helianthus annuus (common sunflower)
Lineage: Eukaryota; Viridiplantae; Streptophyta; Magnoliopsida; Asterales; Asteraceae
Gene name: ATP-dependent DNA helicase DDM1
Exons: 16
Source: RefSeq, a predicted model, not a curated record
AGGAAAUUCCCACUUUCCCGCCCACACCUCGAUCAGACAAUCCCAUUAAUAAUCCCUCAUCUUCCACCUUCAAACCCUCAUUUCCACUCUCCAUUUCUUCCGGAGCCACUCUCAUCCUGCUGCACAAAUCAAGGUUUUCAGUGAGAGAUGGUGCCGAAAAAUGAAGCGACUGAAGAGCCGUUGGCCGAUUCUCCGACUUCUGUGCUUGAAGAUGAGGACAUCUGCAAGGAGAAAGUCGCUGUGAAAGUGGACGAAGAAACAUUUCUCGAGGCUAAAAAUGGCGACUCUCUUCUCAUAUCAGAUGAAAUGGCGGAGGAGGAAAAGAAACUUGAACAACAAAGGCAGCUAGAAGAAGAAAAUGAGAAAAAAGAAGAAGCCACAUUGAGCGACACACAAUUCACUAAACUCGAUGAGCUUCUUACUCAGACUCAGCUUUACUCCGAGUUCUUAUUGGAAAAAAUGGAUGACAUCACCAACAACGGGCUGGCUGAAGAUGUUGAAGAAGUAAAGGAGGAGCCGAAGAAAGGUCGUGGCAGAAAAAGAAAGUCUGCAUCAGAAUACAAUACAAGGAGGGCCAAGAAAGCUGUAGCGGCGAUGCUUACGCGCGAUGUUGAAAGCACGCCCACUAAACACACUAAUCUUAGUAAGGAAGAGAAAGCCGAAAAAGAGCAGAAUGAACUUGUUCCUUUACUAACUGGUGGAAAGUUGAAACCGUAUCAAAUCAAAGGUGUGAAAUGGAUGAUUUCACUUUGGCAAAAUGGGCUUAAUGGUAUUCUAGCUGAUCAAAUGGGCCUCGGCAAGACAAUACAAACUAUCGGUUUUCUUGCACAUUUAAAAGGAAAGGGGAUGGACGGGCCAUACUUGGUUAUCGCGCCUCUGUCUACACUGUCAAACUGGUUAAAUGAGAUAUCUAGGUUUGUGCCCUCGGUGAAUGCUGUUAUCUAUCACGGUGAUAGGAAGACACGGGACGAAAUAAGGAGUAAGAAAAUGCCAAAAACCGUAGGAGCGAGUUUCCCUAUAGUAAUUACCUCAUAUGAAGUAGCCAUGAAUGAUGCUAAGAAAUACUUGAGGCAUUACAACUGGAAGUAUCUUGUGGUUGAUGAGGGUCACAGAUUGAAAAACUCUAAAUGCAAGCUACUGAGAGAACUAAAAUGGAUGCAUGUUGAAAACAAGCUUUUGUUGACCGGCACACCUCUGCAAAACAAUUUAGCCGAACUCUGGUCGUUGCUCAACUUCAUCUUGCCUGAUAUUUUCUCAUCCCACGAAGAGUUCGAGUCAUGGUUUGAUUUUUCUGGAAAAUCCAACACCGAGGAAGCUGAAGAAGGGAGAAAAGCAAAAGUGGUAGCAAAAUUGCAUGCUAUAUUGCGUCCGUUUUUGCUCAGGAGAAUGAAAGAGGAUGUUGAGCUUUCGCUUCCCCGCAAGAAAGAGAUUAUACUUUAUGCUCAUCUUACCGAGCAUCAAAAGAAUUUUCAGGACCAUUUAGUCAACAAGACACUCGAAGCGUAUCUGCGAGAGAAAGUGGACACUGGACGCGGUGUGAAAGGAACGCUUCAAAAUGUCAUGAUUCAGCUCCGGAAAAAUUGCAACCAUCCUGACCUUUUAGAGGCAGCUUUUGAGGGUUCAUGUUUUUAUCCGCCUGUAGAAGAGAUAGUCGGGCAGUGUGGAAAAUUUCAGUUGUUGGAAAGAUUGCUGCAAAAGCUGCUUCCUCGAAAACACAAGGUUUUAAUCUUCUCUCAGUGGACUAAGGUUCUUGAUAUAAUGCAUUACUACUUCAGUGAGAAAGGUAUGCCGGUAUGCAGAAUUGACGGCAGCGUGAAACUGGAGGAUAGAAGACAACAAAUCCAGGACUUUAACGAUGUGGACAGCGAGUAUAGAAUCUUUCUUCUGAGCACUCGGGCUGGUGGGCUGGGAAUCAAUCUCACUGCAGCGGAUACUUGCAUAUUAUAUGACAGUGACUGGGUAAACUAUUCGGAACCCUCAAAUGGAUUUACAGGCAAUGGAUAGAUGUCACAGAAUUGGCCAAACGAAGCCCGUUCAUGUGUACAGGCUUGCAACUGCUCUAUCUUUUGAAGGUCGGAUGCUGAAACGAGCAUUCAGUAAGCUAAGGCUUGAGCAUGUGGUGAUCGGUAAAGGUCAAUUUCAGCAGGAAAGAGUUAAAAACAAUGAAGUUUUGGAUGAAGAGGAUAUGUUGGCGCUUCUGAGAGACGAUGACAAUCCCGAAGAUAAAAUGGUGCAGACCGAUAUAAGUGACGAGGAUCUUGAAAAGGUGUUGGAUCGAAGUGAUUUGAUUGCUUCUGGACCCGCAAAGGCGGAUGGGAAACCGAACUACGUGGCAAGUACACUUCCGCUUAAAGGCCCUGGUUGGGAGGUGGUGAUACCGACUGCCACUGGAGGGAUGCUUUCAACUGUCAACAACUAACCAGUUGUUUCCUGUUUCACCCUUUUGGUUUAGGUUUAUUUGCUUUACAUGGUCCACAUUUUUGGGAAAACUUUGGAAUGGUGUUUGUUUUGUGUAGUGAGAGAUGUGAUUUUGGGGUCCAUGUAAUUGAAACUAAGGGAAUUGGCUGAAAGAAUGUUAUGAUCUCUUCUUUCAUCUAGGGAGAAUGAAGUGACACCUAGUAUCUAGUAUUUACUUUUGGAUGGAA